CACAAUUCCAAUAGACAGAGCCUGAAUCCCACAGCCAUCAUUUAUGACGGCUCCUGGGAUUGAACAAAAGUUGACGGCGGAGCUCCACCUUUUGUCAACUUCAGGAUUUACCAUAAGAUAAAGUAGUCCCUACUUUGUGUUAUGGUGUCUUUAGAUUGUGUUAGAAUUUCAAUGAAAUUCUUAUGCAGUUUUGAUCAGUAUUUCAGUAUUAGUGUGUCCCAG
Molecule: non-coding RNA, 222 nt
Organism: Pelobates cultripes (western spadefoot toad)
Lineage: Eukaryota; Metazoa; Chordata; Amphibia; Anura; Pelobatidae
Source: the annotation of a GenBank genome assembly